UACGUAGGUGGCAAGCGUUGUCCGGAUUUACUGGGCGUAAAGGGCGUGCAGGCGGUUUGUUAAGUGCAGGGUGAAAGCUCCCGGCUCAACUGGGAGAGGUCCUUGCAUACUGGCAAACUCGAGGGAGGCAGAGGAAAGUGGAAUUCCCGGUGUAGUGGUGAAAUGCGUAGAUAUCGGGAGGAACACCAGUGGCGAAGGCGACUUCCUGGCCUGUUCUUGACGCUGAGGCGCGAAAGCUAGGGGAGCAAACGGG
Molecule: ribosomal RNA, 253 nt
Filed under: uncultured bacterium
Lineage: Bacteria
Description: partial 16S ribosomal RNA
Rfam family: Bacterial small subunit ribosomal RNA
Source: RNAcentral